AUUGAACGCUGGCGGCAGGCCUAACACAUGCAAGUCGAACGGUAACAGGAAGAAGCUUGCUUCUUUGCUGACGAGUGGCGGACGGGUGAGUAAUGUCUGGGAAACUGCCUGAUGGAGGGGGAUAACUACUGGAAACGGUAGCUAAUACCGCAUAACGUCGCAAGACCAAAGAGGGGACCUUCGGGCCUCUUGCCAUCGGAUGUGCCCAGAUGGGAUUAGCUAGUAGGUGGGGUAACGGCUCACCUAGGCGACGAUCCCUAGCUGGUCUGAGAGGAUGACCAGCCACACUGGAACUGAGACACGGUCCAGACUCCUACGGAGGCAGCAGUGGGAAUAUUGCACAAUGGGCGCAAGCCUGAUGCAGCCAUGACCGCGUGUA
RNAcentral lists this ribosomal RNA (379 nucleotides) under uncultured bacterium. RNAcentral's name for it is "bacterial SSU rRNA". It matches the Rfam family "Bacterial small subunit ribosomal RNA", at positions 30 to 405 of the family's 1533-position model. The record is from RNAcentral.